This 341-nucleotide ribosomal RNA is filed under the name uncultured Bacillota bacterium. RNAcentral's name for it is "bacterial SSU rRNA". It matches the Rfam family "Bacterial small subunit ribosomal RNA", at positions 28 to 351 of the family's 1533-position model. Lineage: Bacteria; Bacillati; Bacillota. The record is from RNAcentral.
GAUGAACGCUGGCGGCGUGCUUAACACAUGCAAGUCGAGCGGAGCUUAUCAGCGGAUCCCUUUCGGGGGUGAAAGUGAUGAGUUUAGCGGCGGACGGGUGCGUAACGCGUGGGUAAUCUGCCCUUGUCACUGGGAUAACACAUCGAAAGGUGUGCUAAUACCGGAUAACAUGCAGACUCGGCAUCGAGACUGCAUCAAAGAUUUACGGACAAGGAUGAGCCCGCGUCUGAUUAGCUAGUUGGUGGGGUAAAAGCCUACCAAGGCCACGAUCAGUAGCCGACCUGAGAGGGUGAUCGGCCACACUGGAACUGAGACACGGUCCAGACUCCUACGGGAGGCUG